RNAcentral lists this long non-coding RNA (871 nucleotides) under Setaria italica (foxtail millet). RNAcentral's name for it is "long non-coding RNA (SITA_LNC004504)". Lineage: Eukaryota; Viridiplantae; Streptophyta; Magnoliopsida; Poales; Poaceae. The record is from RNAcentral.
GAAACAGUUCUCUAUUGUGUCUAAGGACUGAUAUCUGAUUGACAGGAAACUGGUGAAGCAGAGAUGACAACGGUUUUGAUUUAUGCUCCCGUUGUACUCUGCUCAAUAUUUAGAUAGCUAUAGAUGGCGUUGAUCUUUACCCCCAAACUGUAGAGAAAAAACGGUUGCCUUGUACUUCAUGUGGGGCACUGAAAUGAAGCUAACAACAGUGCACAACCAGUAAGGCAACCACGUCGUUCACAGAUUGCCUGCUUGGUUAGCUUCUGUUUUCACCAUUCCCAAGUUAUUAUGCAGACUAAGUAAAUAUAAAUAACGUAUACGUGAAAUGUUACCUGUUCAUUCUUUGGUUAUGAUUACUCUUCUUGCUACAUAAGCAGGUUGACUAGGCUGGUUGUUCUCUAAGUGAAGCUUUUUUCUUUUGGAUGCAACUAGAGGGAGAGCCCUCUUGAUUUAAGCAUAUCGCGUGACCCCAUCCAGAUUCAUCGAACAUGACGUUGGGUCGAUGUUGUCUUCCUUCUUAUCACCUUCUUCUUCCUUGCGUCUGCAGCAGAAGCCUGCACAGUCCUCCCGCCGCUGAAUUCCACUGCCGCCCGCGGCCGGCGCUGCCACGCCGCUCCGACCACCUCCUGCCCCCGCCGCGCCACCCCGCCCUUCCUAACCGCUUACGUCGCUCGCUCCCGCCGCCAGCACCACCCACCAGGGGUCCCCACCAUCCACCGGCAGCGCCAUCGCCGCCGGCCUCGCCGCCCACAACCCACAACCACCGCCGGACUUGCCGCCGCCACCGGGCAUCCCUUUAAGCCUGCCGGCCAUGGAAACCCCCUCCCCCAAACCUAGAAACCUGAACCUGGCAAUCCCCAGCCUCCAAACC